This 482-nucleotide ribosomal RNA is filed under the name uncultured bacterium. RNAcentral's name for it is "partial 16S ribosomal RNA". It matches the Rfam family "Bacterial small subunit ribosomal RNA", at positions 30 to 507 of the family's 1533-position model. The record is from RNAcentral.
AUUGAACGCUGGCGGCAUGCUUUACACGUGCAAGUCGAACGGCAGCGCGGGGCAACCUGGCGGCGAGUGGCGCACGGGUGAGUAAUAUAUCGGAACGUACCCAGAAGUGGGGGAUAACGUAGCGAAAGUUACGCUAAUACCGCAUACGAUCUACGGAUGAAAGUAGGGGACCGCAAGGCCUUAUGCUUUUGGAGCGGCCGAUAUCUGAUUAGCUAGUUGGUGAGGUAAAGGCUCACCAAGGCGACGAUCAGUAGCUGGUCUGAGAGGACGACCAGCCACACUGGAACUGAGACACGGUCCAGACUCCUACGGGAGGCAGCAGUGGGGAAUUUUGGACAAUGGGCGCAAGCCUGAUCCAGCAAUGCCGCGUGAGUGAAGAAGGCCUUCGGGUUGUAAAGCUCUUUUGUCAGGGAAGAAACGGUAGAGGCUAAUAUCCUGUGCUAAUGACGGUACCUGAAGAAUAAGCACCGGCUAACUACGUG